RNAcentral lists this unclassified non-coding RNA (216 nucleotides) under soil metagenome. Its description in RNAcentral is "partial contains 5.8S ribosomal RNA, internal transcribed spacer 2, and large subunit ribosomal RNA". The record is from RNAcentral.
AACCAUAGAAACCUGCGGAGUACCUGCGGAAGGAUCAUUACCGAGUUUACAACUCCCAAACCCAUGUGAGCAUACCUAUCGUUGCUUCGGCGGAUCGCCCCGGGCGCCUUGCGUGCCCCGGAUCCAGGCGGCCGCCGGGGGACCUUAACUCUUGUUUUUACUGAGAAUCUUCUGAGUCGUUUUUACAAAUAAAUAAAAACUUUUAACAAUGGAUCU